AGUGAACGCUGGCGGUAGGCCUAACACAUGCAAGUCGAACGGCAGCACAGUAAGAGCUUGCUCUUACGGGUGGCGAGUGGCGGACGGGAGAGGAAUACAUCGGAAUCUACUUUUUCGUGGGGGAUAACGUAGGGAAACUUACGCUAAUACCGCAUACGACCUACGGGUGAAAGCAGGGGAUCUUCGGACCUUGCGCGAUUGAAUGAGCCGAUGUCGGAUUAGCUAGUUGGCGGGGUAAAGGCCCACCAAGGCGACGAUCCGUAGCUGGUCUGAGAGGAUGAUCAGCCACACUGGAACUGAGACACGGUCCAGACUCCUACGGGAGGCAGCAGUGGGGAAUAUUGGACAAUGGGCGCAAGCCUGAUCCAGCCAUACCGCGUGGGUGAAGAAGGCCUUCGGGUUAUAAAGCCCUUUUGUUGGGAAAGAAAAGCAGCAGGUUAAUACCCCGCUGUUCUGACGGUACCCAAAGAAUAAGCACCGGCUAACUUCGUG
Molecule: ribosomal RNA, 492 nt
Filed under: uncultured bacterium
Lineage: Bacteria
Description: partial 16S ribosomal RNA
Rfam family: Bacterial small subunit ribosomal RNA
Source: RNAcentral